Molecule: long non-coding RNA, 1319 nt
Organism: Gallus gallus (chicken)
Lineage: Eukaryota; Metazoa; Chordata; Aves; Galliformes; Phasianidae
Source: Ensembl
CUUAAUAUACCGCCAAUAAUUCAAGAAUGUGAGACUGCAUGACUAAUGAUAGUUCCUGGAGAUGAGACAGGAUGAUGAAAAAGAAACUGGCUACUGGAUAUCAUACUGAUGAGUAGGUUAAUGGUCAGUGGCCUUCUGUUUUAUGUGGAGAGAUUUUUUUCUGUGAUUUCUCAAAACAAAUAUAUAUUUCAUCUUUUAAAAUGAAUUAUCAUUUUAUUUCUGUUUCACAAGGAGGCUCAGUGGUUGUUAGCAGGGAAAAACUGGGGAAAAAGAAGACAGAGGAAGGUCAGAAAAGGAGGAAGUUUUUCACCCAGAGGGUGGUGACACACUGGAACAGGUUGCCCAAGGAGGUUGUGGAUGCCCCAUCCCUGGAGGCAUUCAAGGCCAGGCUGGAUGUGGCUGUGGGCAGCCUGGUCUGGUGGUUGGCAACCCUGCACAUAGCAGGGGGGUUGAAACUUGAUGAUCAUCGUGGUCCUUUUCAACCCAGGCCAUUCUAUGAUUCUAUGAUUCUAUGAUGAUUUUUUUUCCAGAAAUGAUUUCCUCUGAUGGAGGUAAGUACUUUGAAAGGAACCUGUUAAUAUUUCUGUGAUGUCUAAUCAACAGCUGGACUUCUAACAGUAUAGAUGUACCAUACAGAAAGUUGCACGUGGACUUCAAAACUCACAUUGUUCUAAAUGUCAUGAGAAUUUCACGAGAAAUGAAAAAAAACCAGCAAUGAGCGGAGUCAUUGCAAAGGUAUUUAGACACUGUGCACAAGGCAAGAGGCCAUCUUACUACCUUUAGGAGCAGAGUUUGAAGAUUUGGUUGUGUCUUGGCCAGUGCCAAGAAAAAAAGUGCAAUAAAAGGAUUGUGUUUAAAUCUGCAGAAACUGAGAUCCAGCCCAAAGCAAGACAGCGUGAAAAUAAGGAGCUGUGGAUCAAGCGGCUCACUGAGUGAGCUCGCCUGCCUGUUAGUCUUCACUGAAUGAAAACUGCUCACCUCACUGUGAAAGAUGCAGCAUAAAGGCUUGAUGUAGACUUGGUUCCCUCAGUGUGACCUGUAUUACCUGAGCAGAAGGAUGUCUCAUUUCUGGAUUCUGAUCAGGCUUAGGGGUGCCAGAAGAUUCUUGUUUUUUUUCUGCUGGACACAUCUUCUACAAAGCUGCUGUGGGAAGCUGGCUUAGGAUCUUCUGAGGACUAUAUGUGGCUCACAUCUAUGCCUCUUCUUGUCCUUUCAGAUCAACCUCUGUCACGUUGCUAGAAGUGACUUGUUCAAAAGGUGCCUUUCAUCUGCUUUGUGCUUGCUCACCUGUCCUUCAGGCUCAGAAAGCCUGCUGCAGG